AGCAGCCGCGGUAAUUCCAGCUCCAAUAGCGUAUAUUAAAGUUGUUGCAGUUAAAAAGCUCGUAGUUGAACUUCGGGGUUCACCCAUUGGUCAGGCUUAAUUGUCUGUACUGGUGAGAUGAGUCUCUACCUUCUGAGGAACUUUUAUGCCAUUAAUUUGGUGUGAUGGGAAAUCAGGACUGUUACUUUGAAAAAUUAGAGUGUUUAAAGCAGGCUAAACGUCUGAAUACAUUAGCAUGGAAUAAUGAAAUAGGACGGAUUGAUUCUAUUUCGUUGGUUUCUAGGGUCACCGUAAUGAUUAAUAGGGAUAGUUGGGGGCAUUAGUAUUCAAUUGUCAGAGGUGAAAUUCUUGGAUUUAUUGAAGACUAACUACUGCGAAAGCAUUUGCCAAGGAUGUUUUCAUUAAUCAAGAACGAAAGUUAGGGGAUCGAAGACGAUCAGAUACCGUCGUAGUCUUAACCAUAAACUAUGCCGACUAGGGAUCGGACGAAGUUAAUAAUAAUGACGCGUUCGGCACCUUA
Molecule: ribosomal RNA, 520 nt
Filed under: uncultured Diversispora
Lineage: Eukaryota; Fungi; Glomeromycota; Glomeromycetes; Diversisporales; Diversisporaceae
Description: SSU rRNA
Rfam family: Eukaryotic small subunit ribosomal RNA
Source: RNAcentral